UGAAUACGAGAUGCUACGGCGUCGAAGCAGUGUAUGUCAGACUUCCAAGAAAAGCUCGCAAUGUCAUAAAUAAAGAAUGCCUGUACCAUAACCGACACAGGUGGGUAGGUAGAGUAUACUAAGGGGCGCGAGAUAACUCUCUCUAAGGAACUCGGCAAAAUAACUCCGUAACUUCGGGAGAAGGAGUGCCUUCUUUAAGAAGGUUGCAAUAACAAGAUCCAAGCAACUGUUUAUCAAAAACACAGGUCUCCGCUAAGUCGUAAGACGAUGUAUGGGGGCUGACGCCUGCCCAGUGCCAGAAGGUUAAAGAAGCUGGUUAGCAAUAGCGAAGCUGGUGACUGAAGCCCUGGUGAACGGCGGCCGUAACAAUAACGGUCCUAAGGUAGCGAAAUUCCUUGUCGGGUAAGUUCCGACCCGCACGAAAGGCGUAAUGAUUUGGAUACUGUCUCGGAGAGGGACUCGGUGAAAUAGACUUGUCUGUGAAGAUGCGGACUACCUGCACCAGGACAGAAAGACCCUAUGAAACUUUACUGUAACCUGAAAUUGAAAUUGGUCUCUAUUUGUGCAGUAUAGGUGGGAGGCGUUGAAAGUAAUCUUGCGGGAUUAGUGGAGCCAUCAGUGAGAUACCACUCCUAUAAUGUUAGAUUUCUAACUUUGGAUCAUGAUCUGGUCAAAGAACAGUUUCAGGCGGGCAGUUUGACUGGGGCGGUCGCCUCCCAAAUGGUAACGGAGGCGUACAAAGGUUUCCUCUGAACGGGUAGAAAUCGUAUCUAGAGUGUAAAGGCAUAAGGAAGCUUGACUGUGAGACCUACAAGUCGAGCAGGGACGAAAGUCGGUCUUAGUGAUCUGACGGUGCUGAGUGGAAAGGCCGUCACUCAACGGAUAAAAGUUACUCUAAGGAUAACAGGCUGAUCUCCCCCAAGAGUUCACAUCGACGGGGAGGUUUGGCACCUCGAUGUCGGCUCAUCGCAUCCUGGGGCGGUAGUACGUCCCAAGGGUUGGGCUGUUCGCCCAUGAAAGCGGUACGCGGGCUGGGUUCAGAACGUCGUGAGACAGUUCGGUCCAUAUCUGUGUAGGCGUUAGAAUAUUGAGAGGAGCUUUCUCUAGUACGAGAGGACCGAGAAGGACAUACCUCUGGUGUACCAGUUAUCGUGCCAACGGUAAACGCUGGGUAGCUAUGUAUGGAGAGGAUAACCGCUGAAAGCAUCUAAGUGGGAAGCCCACCUCAAGAUGAG
This 1235-nucleotide ribosomal RNA is filed under the name metagenome. RNAcentral describes it as "bacterial LSU rRNA". It matches the Rfam family "Bacterial large subunit ribosomal RNA", at positions 1564 to 2808 of the family's 2925-position model. The record is from RNAcentral.